CUCCUGGAAACGGGUGGUAAUGCCGGAUGCUCCGCCCCCUCGCAUGGGGGGUCGGGGAGGCUUUUGCGGAAUGGGAUGGGGUCGCGUCCUAUCAGCUUGUUGGCGGGGCGACGGCCCACCAAGGCUUCGACGGGUAGCCGGCCUGAGAGGGCGACCGGCCACAUUGGGACUGAGAUACGGCCCAGACUCCUACGGGAGGCAGCAGUGGGGAAUAUUGCACAAUGGGGGGAACCCUGAUGCAGCGACGCCGCGUGCGGGAUGGAGGCCUUCGGGUCGUGAACCGCUUUUGAUUGGGAGCAAGCGUGAGUGAGUGUACCUUUCGAAUAAGCACCGGCUAACUACGUGCCAGCAGCCGCGGUAAUACGUAGGGUGCAAGCGUUGUCCGGAAUCAUUGGGCGUAAAGGGCUCGUAGGCGGUUCGUCGCGUCCGGUGUGAAAGCCCAUCGCUUAACGGUGGGUCUGCGCCGGGUACGGGCGGGCUUGAGUGCGGCAGGGGAGGCUGGAAUUCCCGGUGUAACGGUGGAAUGUGUAGAUAUCGGGAAGAACACC
Molecule: ribosomal RNA, 548 nt
Filed under: uncultured Bifidobacterium sp.
Lineage: Bacteria; Bacillati; Actinomycetota; Actinomycetes; Bifidobacteriales; Bifidobacteriaceae
Description: bacterial SSU rRNA
Rfam family: Bacterial small subunit ribosomal RNA
Source: RNAcentral